CGGUCCCUAUCUGCCGUGGGCGCUGGAGAACUGAGGGGGGCUGCUCCUAGUACGAGAGGACCGGAGUGGACGCAUCACUGGUGUUCGGGUUGUCAUGCCAAUGGCACUGCCCGGUAGCUAAAUGCGGAAGAGAUAAGUGCUGAAAGCAUCUAAGCACGAAACUUGCCCCGAGAUGAGUUCUCCCUGACCCUUUAAGGGUCCUGAAGGAACGUUGAAGACGACGACGUUGAUAGGCCGGGUGUGUAAGCGCAGCGAUGCGUUGAGCUAACCGGUACUAAUGAACCGUGAGGCUUAACCUUACAACGCCGAAG
This 311-nucleotide ribosomal RNA is filed under the name Escherichia coli. RNAcentral describes it as "partial 23S ribosomal RNA". It matches the Rfam family "Bacterial large subunit ribosomal RNA", at positions 2632 to 2925 of the family's 2925-position model. Lineage: Bacteria; Pseudomonadati; Pseudomonadota; Gammaproteobacteria; Enterobacterales; Enterobacteriaceae. The record is from RNAcentral.